Helianthus annuus (common sunflower) is the source of this 1760-nucleotide long non-coding RNA. RefSeq lists it as uncharacterized. The transcript has 2 exons. NCBI's taxonomy places the organism in Eukaryota, Viridiplantae, Streptophyta, Magnoliopsida, Asterales, Asteraceae. The record is from RefSeq and is a predicted model, not a curated record.
UAUUCCUAGUGCUGAGUUUCCUUAAAUAUUGUGCAGACUAAAGAAACUUUCAAGAAAUCAAUAACAGAUUUCAUGUCAUUAACAACUUAAAUUUAUGAAAUAAUAAGAAACAGAGAUAGAUGAAAAGCAAUUAUGAGAGAGGGGGGAAGGGAACGAUGGUGAACUAUAGGCUUCUGAUGGAGCAAAACUUCAGCGAAACAAAAGCAGAUCUAAAACCCUCGUUGCAGAUAUGGGCCACCAGUUGAAGUUGAAGGCGACGGCGGUGAAGGAUUGGGUUGGGGAUGUUUCACACAACGGUGGCGGCCCGGAUCUAGGGUUUCUAUCGAUAGGGCAACAGAGGUUUACCGUCGGUUACCGGAAAAGAAUCCUUGCCGGAAACGAUGGUGGUGGUGAUGGCUCUCAAGGGUGGGGGUUGAUUGGAGAUAGAGGGGGCAAUCUUGACCCAAAGCCUUUCAAAUGGGUCAAUUUGGGUUGAUUUUAAAAUUAUAUGGGUUUGUUUGGGUUAGAUAUUUUAACUAAAUAGGUCAUAAUGGAUCACUUGAAAUUCCAUCUUUUUAUUUUCGGGUCAAAGCGGGUCGACAACAUUAAAGAAAUUGGUCGAUGUGGGUUAGUGUCUUAAAGAAACAGGGACGGUUUCGGAUCGAAAUGGGUUUCGAGCCGGCAUAAGUAUCCGCACGAGACGGGUUACGGCACGAAACGAGUUCAGCUCAAAUUGAGUUUCGGGCUGAGACAGGUUUCGGCACGACGCAGGUUUUGGAUCGGAACGGGGUCGGUUCGGGUUGGGUUACGGGCCGACACGGGUUUUUGCACGGGACGGGUUUCGGAUCGCAACGGGUUUUGGACCGACACGAGUUUCCGCACGAGACGAGUUUCGGGUCGGGGCGGGUUUCGUACCGUUUCGACCCGUACUGUUUCGACGCGAACCGUUUCGACGCGAAUCGUUUCGACGCGUACCGUUUCGACGCGUACCGUUUCGACGCGUACCGUUUCAACGCGAACCGUUUCGACCCGUACCGUUUCGACGCGAACCGUUUCGACCCGUACCUUUCGACCAGUACCGUUUCAAAUCGAACCGUUUCGACGCGAACCGUUUCGACCCGUACCGUUUCGAACCGACGCGAACCGUUUCAGCGCGAACCGUUUCAACCCUUACCGUUUACCGUUUCGACAAGUACCAUUUCGAACCGAACCGUUCCGACCAAUACCGUUUCGAACCGAACCUAAGGCGUAAAACGACACCGGUUAAAGCCAAUUUGGAUGACUCGUGAUCUGACAAUCAAAUUUUAUACUACUCGCCACAAUUUCAAAACAUAUCUCACUGUCUGUAACGAGGAUUAUAAAUUUAAACUAAUAAUAUUUGUGCAGAGUUAAUGUUUGUGGCAUUGUUUUCCCUUUGAAUGCUUAUCUCUUGACUGUCUUUUUGUUCAAAAAGUUUUAGUUUUUUUAAUGACAGUUAACAUGUCAAGUAUGAUCACCAAAGUUAUAUUCUUAAAAAAAAACUGACCCGACUCGAUCCGAAACCCGUUCCGACUCGGACCCGUUUCAACCCGGACCCAUUUUGACCCGAACCAAAACAACCUUUUUUUUAUAAUUGACCCGUUUUGACCCGAACCCGUUCUGACCCAUGACCCGACCCGACCCGACCCGGCCCGUUUGCCAGGUCUAAUUGGAGAGAGACAGAGAGGGGAUAGAGACAUCUCAAUAAGAGACAUGUGUUUUGUUUAUUUGUUUAAUUUAAAUAUAUUAGUAAAUUACUAAUC